Long non-coding RNA from Ailuropoda melanoleuca (giant panda), 434 nucleotides. RefSeq lists it as uncharacterized. The record is from RefSeq and is a predicted model, not a curated record. NCBI's taxonomy places the organism in Eukaryota, Metazoa, Chordata, Mammalia, Carnivora, Ursidae. The transcript has 4 exons.
UUCAUGCUGAGCAGAGCCAUCUGCUGUACUCAGGCCAGCGCCAAUCCCGAAGCUCAUCUCUUCUUUGGAUGCAAAUUAUCUCCCACAUUCUGGAGCAGAGAGUUCCAUGUUUCUGAGGACCCUUCAUACUUCAAGGUCAAGUCCAAGAACCACAUGGCAGCCAUGAUCUAGUUUAAAGAACACUAGGCCAGCCUCUGGAGACCCAGAUUUCAUUUUGUUUCUGCCAGUUACUCACUGUGUGAACUCGGGAGCUGACGAAUGAGCAGGGAUAGAAAAAAAAAAAAAACAAAAAAAGGAAUUAAAGGUGACAAGUACUGUACCAGAGGACUCUGUCAGGGGCAGUAUCCAGAGAAAAUGAAAGGAUUUGGACAUCUUUUAAAAGUUUGUUGUGCUAGGAUGAAACACACAUCAUGAAACGAAGCAGCCAUUCAAUG